This 795-nucleotide ribosomal RNA is filed under the name Leuconostoc mesenteroides. RNAcentral's name for it is "bacterial SSU rRNA". It matches the Rfam family "Bacterial small subunit ribosomal RNA", at positions 50 to 828 of the family's 1533-position model. The record is from RNAcentral. Lineage: Bacteria; Bacillati; Bacillota; Bacilli; Lactobacillales; Lactobacillaceae.
UAUACAUGCAGUCGAACGCACAGCGAAAGGUGCUUGCACCUUUCAAGUGAGUGGCGAACGGGUGAGUAACACGUGGACAACCUGCCUCAAGGCUGGGGAUAACAUUUGGAAACAGAUGCUAAUACCGAAUAAAACUUAGUGUCGCAUGACAAAAAGUUAAAAGGCGCUUCGGCGUCACCUAGAGAUGGAUCCGCGGUGCAUUAGUUAGUUGGUGGGGUAAAGGCCUACCAAGACAAUGAUGCAUAGCCGAGUUGAGAGACUGAUCGGCCACAUUGGGACUGAGACACGGCCCAAACUCCUACGGGAGGCUGCAGUAGGGAAUCUUCCACAAUGGGCGAAAGCCUGAUGGAGCAACGCCGCGUGUGUGAUGAAGGCUUUCGGGUCGUAAAGCACUGUUGUAUGGGAAGAACAGCUAGAAUAGGAAAUGAUUUUAGUUUGACGGUACCAUACCAGAAAGGGACGGCUAAAUACGUGCCAGCAGCCGCGGUAAUACGUAUGUCCCGAGCGUUAUCCGGAUUUAUUGGGCGUAAAGCGAGCGCAGACGGUUUAUUAAGUCUGAUGUGAAAGCCCGGAGCUCAACUCCGGAAUGGCAUUGGAAACUGGUUAACUUGAGUGCAGUAGAGGUAAGUGGAACUCCAUGUGUAGCGGUGGAAUGCGUAGAUAUAUGGAAGAACACCAGUGGCGAAGGCGGCUUACUGGACUGCAACUGACGUUGAGGCUCGAAAGUGUGGGUAGCAAACAGGAUUAGAUACCCUGGUAGUCCACACCGUAAACGAUGAACACUAGGUGUUAGGA